RNAcentral lists this ribosomal RNA (1166 nucleotides) under Priestia megaterium. RNAcentral's name for it is "bacterial LSU rRNA". It matches the Rfam family "Bacterial large subunit ribosomal RNA", at positions 1 to 1160 of the family's 2925-position model. Lineage: Bacteria; Bacillati; Bacillota; Bacilli; Caryophanales; Bacillaceae. The record is from RNAcentral.
AUGGUUAAGUUAGAAAGGGCGCACGGUGAAUGCCUUGGCACUAGGAGCCGAUGAAGGACGGGACUAACACCGAUAUGCUUCGGGGAGCUGUAAGUGAGCUUUGAUCCGGAGAUUUCCGAAUGGGGAAACCCACUGUUCGUAAUGGAACAGUAUCUUUAUCUGAAUACAUAGGAUAUUGAAGGCAGACCCGGGGAACUGAAACAUCUAAGUACCCGGAGGAAGAGAAAGCAAAUGCGAUUUCCUGAGUAGCGGCGAGCGAAACGGAAUUAGCCCAAACCAAGAGGCUUGCCUCUUGGGGUUGUAGGACACUCUAUACGGAGUUACAAAGGAACGAAGUAAAUGAAGCGACCUGGAAAGGUCCGUCRAAGAAGGUAACAACCCUGUAGUUGAAACUUCGUUCCCUCUUGAGUGGAUCCUGAGUACGGCGGAACACGUGAAAUUCCGUCGGAAGCUGGGAGGACCAUCUCCCAAGGCUAAAUACUACCUAGUGACCGAUAGUGAACCAGUACCGUGAGGGAAAGGUGAAAAGCACCCCGGAAGGGGAGUGAAAGAGAUCCUGAAACCGUGUGCCUACAAGUAGUCAGAGCCCGUUAACGGGUGAUGGCGUGCCUUUUGUAGAAUGAACCGGCGAGUUACGAUCCCAUGCAAGGUUAAGCUGAUAAGGCGGAGCCGUAGCGAAAGCGAGUCUGAAUAGGGCGUUUAGUAUGUGGUUGUAGACCCGAAACCAGGUGAUCUACCCAUGUCCAGGGUGAAGUUCAGGUAACACUGAAUGGAGGCCCGAACCCACGCACGUUGAAAAGUGCGGGGAUGAGGUGUGGGUAGCGGAGAAAUUCCAAUCGAACCUGGAGAUAGCUGGUUCUCUCCGAAAUAGCUUUAGGGCUAGCCUCAUGUUGUGAGAGUCUUGGAGGUAGAGCACUGAUUGGACUAGGGGCCCCCAACGGGUUACCGAAUUCAGUCAAACUCCGAAUGCCAAAGACUUAUCCAUGGGAGUCAGACUGCGAGUGAUAAGAUCCGUAGUCAAAAGGGAAACAGCCCAGACCACCAGCUAAGGUCCCCAAGUAUACGUUAAGUGGAAAAGGAUGUGGAGUUGCUUAGACAACCAGGAUGUUGGCUUAGAAGCAGCCACCAUUUAAAGAGUGCGUAAUAGCUCACUGGUCGAGUGACUC